RNAcentral lists this transfer RNA (68 nucleotides) under Discoglossus galganoi (Iberian painted frog). RNAcentral's name for it is "tRNA-Phe". It matches the Rfam family "tRNA". Rfam says of the family: Transfer RNA (tRNA) molecules are approximately 80 nucleotides in length. Their secondary structure includes four short double-helical elements and three loops (D, anti-codon, and T loops). Further hydrogen bonds mediate the characteristic L-shaped molecular structure. tRNAs have two regions of fundamental functional importance: the anti-codon, which is responsible for specific mRNA codon recognition, and the 3' end, to which the tRNAs corresponding amino acid is attached (by aminoacyl-tRNA synthetases). tRNAs cope with the degeneracy of the genetic code in two manners: having more than one tRNA (with a specific anti-codon) for a particular amino acid; and 'wobble' base-pairing, i.e. permitting non-standard base-pairing at the 3rd anti-codon position. Lineage: Eukaryota; Metazoa; Chordata; Amphibia; Anura; Alytidae. The record is from RNAcentral.
GCUAACGUAGCUUAAUUAAAGCACGGCACUGAAGAUGCCGAGAAGAGCCCUAAAAAGCCCCGAUAGCA